GUUCGGAUUGCAGGCUGCAACCCGCCUGUAUGAAGUUGGAAUCGCUAGUAAUCGCGGAUCAGCAUGCCGCGGUGAAUACGUUCCCGGGCCUUGUACACACCGCCCGUCACACCAUGAGAGUCGGAACACCGAAGUCCGUAGUCUAACCGCGAAGGGGACGCGGCCGAAGGUGGGUUCGAUAAUCGGGGUGAAGUCGUAACAAGGUAUC
Molecule: ribosomal RNA, 208 nt
Filed under: uncultured bacterium
Lineage: Bacteria
Description: partial 16S ribosomal RNA
Rfam family: Bacterial small subunit ribosomal RNA
Source: RNAcentral